AGGGGAGGAAAGGUCUUGAGGGAGCAGCACGCUUGCCUGAUGGGUGCCCAAAGCCAGGGGCAGGUGGAGGUGAGAGAAGGACAAGCUCUGCAAACGUUGCGGAAGCGCUCUGUCCAUGGAGAAGGCACAGGACUUCCAUGUGGGGAGCAGCUUACUCCUGCUGAGAACUUUGGGGAGACAGAGUGGAGCAGCCAUCUCAGACCUGAGCGGCUAAGGAGCUGGGUCCCCCUCUGUCGCACUGUGCAGAGCUGCUGGACUUUGCAGUAAGCAGCCUUCAGGUCUAAAGGCUCCACAUUGUAAGGAAGCCCAGUCACAUGGACAGACCAUAUGGGUCCAGUUGGCUGCCCCAGCCAAGGUUUCAGCCAACAGCCAAGAUUACCCACAGCCACGUGUAUGAAUGAGCCUUCAAAUGAGUCCAGCACCCAGCAGAAUAAUGCCCCCUCCCGUCUCACAAAGAUUUCCAUGCCCUAAUUCCUGGAACCUGUGAAUCUGCUACAUCACAUGGCAAGCAGAGCUGGCAGAUGGAAUUUAGGGUGUGGAGCUUGAGGUGGGGAGGGCAGCCUGGAUUACACAGGUGGGCCCUAUCUAAGCACAUGAGCCCUUAUACAAGCAAAGAACAUUUCCUCAGCUGCCAGACAGCUGGCAAACAGAAUUGGAGGGGCAGAGAGAUGUAAUCAGAAAGGGCAGAAGAGACUUAAAAGGAAGAGAGGCUCGACCUGCUGUGGCUACCUUUGAAAAUGGAGGAAUGGGGCUCCAAGCCAAGGGAUGCAGGCUGCCUCUUCAUUGGAGUACUGCCAGCAAGAAAACAGCCCAGCAAUUGCAAGGAAAUUAAUUUUCCCAACAGUCUGAAUGAGCAAGAAAAUGGACUCUCCCCUGCCACGCCCUGAGUUCAGCCUUGUGAGACUCUAAGCAGAUACCCACUCAAGCCCACAGGACGUCCAACCCAUAACAAUUGUAAGAUAAUAAACUGGGAUAGUUUUA
RNAcentral lists this long non-coding RNA (981 nucleotides) under Homo sapiens (human). Its description in RNAcentral is "novel transcript". The record is from RNAcentral. Lineage: Eukaryota; Metazoa; Chordata; Mammalia; Primates; Hominidae.